GUCGUCGUGGCCAAGCAGGUGAAGGCACCUCGCUGAUAACGAGGAGAUCGCUGGUUCGAACCCAGCCGACGACAC
This 75-nucleotide transfer RNA is filed under the name Phytohabitans aurantiacus. RNAcentral's name for it is "Micromonospora sp. RD004123 tRNA-Ile". It matches the Rfam family "tRNA". From Rfam's summary of the family: Transfer RNA (tRNA) molecules are approximately 80 nucleotides in length. The record is from RNAcentral. Lineage: Bacteria; Bacillati; Actinomycetota; Actinomycetes; Micromonosporales; Micromonosporaceae.